Molecule: ribosomal RNA, 322 nt
Filed under: uncultured eukaryote
Lineage: Eukaryota
Description: partial 18S ribosomal RNA
Rfam family: Eukaryotic small subunit ribosomal RNA
Source: RNAcentral
CCCUUAGAUGUUCUGGGCUGCACACGCGCUACACUGAAGGGAUCAGCGUGUUCUUUUCCUGGUCCGAAAGGAUCGGGUAACCCGCUGAACCCCCUUCGUGGUAGGGAUCGGAGCUUGCAAUUAUUCUCCGUGAACCAGGAAUUCCCAGUAAGCGCAAGUCAUAAGCUUGCGUUGAUUACGUCCCUGCCCUUUGUACACACCGCCCGUCGCACCUACCGAUUGAAUGGUCCGGUGAAAUCUCGGGACGGCGGCUUGGUCGCUUGCGUCCGACUGCUGAAACUUGAUUAAACCAUAUCAUUUAGAGGAAGGUGAAGUCGUAACA